This 518-nucleotide ribosomal RNA is filed under the name Saccharomyces sp. RNAcentral describes it as "partial large subunit ribosomal RNA". It matches the Rfam family "Eukaryotic large subunit ribosomal RNA", at positions 122 to 654 of the family's 3401-position model. Lineage: Eukaryota; Fungi; Ascomycota; Saccharomycetes; Saccharomycetales; Saccharomycetaceae. The record is from RNAcentral.
CUGGUACCUUCGGUGCCCGAGUUGUAAUUUGGAGAGGGCAACUUUGGGGCCGUUCCUUGUCUAUGUUCCUUGGAACAGGACGUCAUAGAGGGUGAGAAUCCCGUGUGGCGAGGAGUGCGGUUCUUUGUAAAGUGCCUUCGAAGAGUCGAGUUGUUUGGGAAUGCAGCUCUAAGUGGGUGGUAAAUUCCAUCUAAAGCUAAAUAUUGGCGAGAGACCGAUAGCGAACAAGUACAGUGAUGGAAAGAUGAAAAGAACUUUGAAAAGAGAGUGAAAAAGUACGUGAAAUUGUUGAAAGGGAAGGGCAUUUGAUCAGACAUGGUGUUUUGUGCCCUCUGCUCCUUGUGGGUAGGGGAAUCUCGCAUUUCACUGGGCCAGCAUCAGUUUUGGUGGCAGGAUAAAUCCAUAGGAAUGUAGCUUGCCUCGGUAAGUAUUAUAGCCUGUGGGAAUACUGCCAGCUGGGACUGAGGACUGCGACGUAAGUCAAGGAUGCUGGCAUAAUGGUUAUAUGCCGCCCGCUG